GACGAACGCUGGCGGCGUGCUUAACACAUGCAAGUCGAACGGUGAAGCGCCUUCCUUUUUGGUGGGUGUGGAUGAGUGGCGAACGGGUGAGUAACACGUGAGUAACCUGCCCCCUUCUUCUGGAUAACCGCAUGAAAGUGUUGCUAAUACGGGAUAUUCUGGGUCUGUCGCAUGAUGGGUCUGGGACAGAUAUUGUUUCGGUGGGGGAUGGGCUCGCGGCCUAUCAGCUUGUUGGUGGGGUGAUGGCCUACCAAGGCGGUGACGGGUAGCCGGCCUGAGAGGGUGGACGGUCACACUGGGACUGAGACACGGCCCAGACUCCGACGGGAGGCAGCAGGGGGGAAUAUUGCACAAUGGGCGCAAGCCUGAUGCAGCGACGCCGCGGGAGGGAUGGAGGCCGUCGGGUUGUGAACCUCUUUCGCCAGUGAAGCAGGCCUGCCUCGUUUGUGGGUGGGUUGACGGUAGCUGGAGAAGAAGCGCCGGCUAACUACGUG
Molecule: ribosomal RNA, 494 nt
Filed under: uncultured bacterium
Lineage: Bacteria
Description: partial 16S ribosomal RNA
Rfam family: Bacterial small subunit ribosomal RNA
Source: RNAcentral